Molecule: ribosomal RNA, 619 nt
Filed under: Rhizopogon arctostaphyli
Lineage: Eukaryota; Fungi; Basidiomycota; Agaricomycetes; Boletales; Rhizopogonaceae
Description: eukaryotic LSU rRNA
Rfam family: 5.8S ribosomal RNA (bases 153-307)
Source: RNAcentral
CAACCUCGUUGAACCUUAAUGUAGGAUUGCCUCUCCUCCGGGAGGGGGGACCUACGUCUUCUCAACAUCUUCGUGUAGAAAGUCUUUGAAUGUUUACUAUCAUCGAGUCGCGACUUCUAGGAGACGCGAUUCUUUGAGAUAAAAGUUAUUACAACUUUCAGCAACGGAUCUCUUGGCUCUCGCAUCGAUGAAGAACGCAGCGAAAAGCGAUAUGUAAUGUGAAUUGCAGAUCUACAGUGAAUCAUCGAAUCUUUGAACGCACCUUGCGCUCCUCGGUGUUCCGAGGAGCAUGCCUGUUUGAGUGUCAGUAAAUUCUCAACCCCUCUCGAUCUUCUUCGAAGAGGGCGCUUGGAUAGUGGAGGUUGCCGGAGACUCGGAUUCGUUCCGAGACUCGGGCUCUUCUGAAAUGCAUCGGCUUGCGGUCGACUUUCGACUAUGCGCGACAAGGCUUUCGGCGUGAUAAUGAUCGCCGUUCGCCGAAGCGCAUGACAGAAGGUUCCGCGCCUCUAACGCGUCGACCGCUUACUAUCUCUCCGGAGAGAACGGCGUCUUCCUAAUAGACUUUUGACCUCAAAUCAGGUAGGACUACCCGCUGAACUUAAGCAUAUCAAAUAAGCGG